This 497-nucleotide ribosomal RNA is filed under the name uncultured bacterium. RNAcentral describes it as "partial 16S ribosomal RNA". It matches the Rfam family "Bacterial small subunit ribosomal RNA", at positions 28 to 507 of the family's 1533-position model. The record is from RNAcentral.
GAUGAACGCUGGCGGCGUGCCUAAUACAUGCAAGUCGAGCGAACGGACGAGAAGCUUGCUUCUCUGAUGUUAGCGGCGGACGGGUGAGUAACACGUGGAUAACCUACCUAUAAGACUGGGAUAACUUCGGGAAACCGUAGCUAAUACCGGAUAAUAUUUUGAACCGCAUGGUUCAAAAGUGAAAGACGGUCUUGCUGUCACUUAUAGAUGGAUCCGCGCUGCAUUAGCUAGUUGGUAAGGUAACGGCUUACCAAGGCAACGAUGCAUAGCCGACCUGAGAGGGUGAUCGGCCACACUGGAACUGAGACACGGUCCAGACUCCUACGGGAGGCAGCAGUAGGGAAUCUUCCGCAAUGGGCGAAAGCCUGACGGAGUAACGCCGCGUGAGUGAUGAAGGUCUUCGGAUCGUAAAACUCUGUUAUUAGGGAAGAACAUAUGUGUAAGUAACUGUGCACAUCUUGACGGUACCUAAUCAGAAAGCCACGGCUAACUACGUG